This 252-nucleotide ribosomal RNA is filed under the name uncultured bacterium. RNAcentral's name for it is "partial 16S ribosomal RNA". It matches the Rfam family "Bacterial small subunit ribosomal RNA", at positions 524 to 776 of the family's 1533-position model. The record is from RNAcentral.
UACGUAGGGGGCGAGCGUUGUCCGGAUUUAUUGGGCGUAAAGGGUACGCAGGCGGUCAUGUAAGUCAGGUGUGAAAUUCUAUGGCUUAACCAUAGCAAGCACUUGAAACUGUGUGACUUGAGUUAAGGAGAGGAAAGUGGAAUUCCUAGUGUAGCGGUGAAAUGCGUAGAUAUUAGGAGGAAUACCAGUGGCGAAGGCGACUUUCUGGACUUAUACUGACGCUGAGGUACGAAAGCGUGGGGAGCAAACAGG